UUUUUAGUAUAAGUAUAUCCCAUGUAAUAUUUGGUACAUACUUAUAUACUAAAA
Felis catus (domestic cat) is the source of this 54-nucleotide microRNA precursor. It matches the Rfam family "mir-1302 microRNA precursor family". NCBI's taxonomy places the organism in Eukaryota, Metazoa, Chordata, Mammalia, Carnivora, Felidae. The record is from Rfam.